Molecule: long non-coding RNA, 1373 nt
Filed under: Solanum tuberosum (potato)
Lineage: Eukaryota; Viridiplantae; Streptophyta; Magnoliopsida; Solanales; Solanaceae
Description: long non-coding RNA (STUB_LNC010924)
Source: RNAcentral
CACAAAUAGGCACUUUAACUAUCCAACCUUUUAAUAGAUAAACACGCGAGUCCUACCUGGCAAAAUGCGUGAUAUGCACGAAUUCUGCGCGAGUUGGGAGUUAUUUUCGAGGCCCACAACGGUAAAAAAAUGCUGAAAUGACAAUUCUACCCUUAAUGAAUCCCUUUUAUAUAUAUUUCUUUAUAUUUCCAAAUCAAAAUCUCAUUUCUCUUUUCCUCCUCUUUCAAACCAAGUUUUUUCCUCUCUUUAAAACGAUUUGUGCUCAUAUUUAGUGCAAAUGGAUUCUAAUUUUUUUUGUCAUUGUGGAAAAAGAGCUAUAAUGAAGAUUUCUUGGUCUGCAAACAAUCCAGGUCGUUGGUUUCUUGGAUGUGAAGAUGGUCGGGUAUGGUUUCAUUUAAAACAUCUUUUUUGGUUUAAAUUUUAGUUCUCAAGAUUCAAUUUUGAUAGUGAAUUUGUUCUUCUUAAACAGGUUGGAUGCAAGUUUUUUAGGUGGUGUGAACUUGAUUAUACUGAACACGCUAGAAUUGCUAUUUCGGGAUUACAAAAGAGGAUAAAAAAACAUGAUGAAGAAAAGGAAAAGAUUAGGAGGAAAUAUCGAGUUUUGUUGAUCAUUGUGAUACUAUCUUGGAUUUAUAGAGAGUUCUUUAUGUAGUAAAUGUUAUGUAGAUUGGUUGAAAAAGUUAUGCCAGAAUCGUUUUGUUCAUAAAGUAGUUUUCUUUAUGGGUUAGUGGCUACCGCUAUCUAUUGUAAGCAAUCAAAAUAAUGGAUGUGAAAUGCACUAUUUUAGAGUUGGCAAAAGUUUGUCUCUCAACAUUAGUUUUAAUAUUCAUCACUUUUACAACUUACAAGGACAUUACUUAGCAUGAUUCAUACACUUUCAUACUAGCAUGAUUCACACACUUUCAUACAUAGUAAACACCUAACAUCAAGGCAGCCUAACAUCAAUCAUAACAAACACCAAAAGACUUCACAAAACAUAACUUAAUAUCCAUUAAACUAGGACAACUAAAUACCCUCCAAAGAUUUGUCUAUGCAAACAUACAUCAAAAUAACCCAAAAUACAUCAAAAUGAUUAGUAAUUGCAGUAUGCCUUUACAAACAUUUAUCAAAAUAAACAAAAACAAAGACCUCCUAGAUCAACAUUUAUACACAUCAUUAACACUUUAAACUCUUAUGGAACCCACUUGCCCUUGGAUUUGCUUUGCACCUUUUUCUUUGACAAUUGUUGAAGUUGAUUUCUAGUCAUUGCAUCUUUUCCUUUCCAUUUCAAACCAGGUGGCUUGAAUCCAAGAUCAACAUUUGUUUGUGAUGCAUCUUUAAAUGCUAUCCCUGUUCCACUUGAGAUAACCCUUUCACUUGAUCUUCCUGGCUAC